UCCCUGUUACCAGGGCAGUCUAGCCAGAGAAAUACAACUGACUAUAAGGGUUGCGCUCGUUGAAGGACUUAACCUAACAUCUCACGACACGAGCUGACGACGGCCAUGCAACACCUGUCACUUGGUUUCCGAGGACACUCUCUCCUUUCGGAGAAAUUCCAAGGAUGUCAAGCCUGGGUAAGGUUCUUCGCUUACCAUCGAAUUAAACAACACGCUCCACCGCUUGUGCGGGUCCCCGUCAAUUCCUUUAUGUUUUAAGCUUGCGCUCGUACUCCACAGGCGGGAUGCUUAACGCGUUAGCUUCGCUACUGAUCGGGUCGAUACGACCAACAGCUAGCAUCCAUCGUUUAGGGCGUGGACUAC
RNAcentral lists this unclassified non-coding RNA (363 nucleotides) under uncultured bacterium. Its description in RNAcentral is "contains 16S-23S intergenic spacer region". The record is from RNAcentral.